UACGUAGGGAGCAAGCGUUGUCCGGAAUCAUUGGGCGUAAAGCGCGCGUAGGCGGCCCUGUAAGUCCGCUGUGAAAGUCAAAGGCUCAACCUUUGAAUGCCGGUGGAUACUGCAGGGCUAGAGUCCGGAAGAGGCGGGUGGAAUUCCUGGUGUAGCGGUGGAAUGCGCAGAUAUCAGGAGGAACACCAACGGCGAAGGCAGCCCGCUGGGACGGUACUGACGCUAAGGCGCGAAAGCGUGGGGAGCGAACAGG
RNAcentral lists this ribosomal RNA (253 nucleotides) under uncultured bacterium. RNAcentral describes it as "partial 16S ribosomal RNA". It matches the Rfam family "Bacterial small subunit ribosomal RNA", at positions 524 to 776 of the family's 1533-position model. The record is from RNAcentral.